This 253-nucleotide ribosomal RNA is filed under the name uncultured bacterium. RNAcentral describes it as "partial 16S ribosomal RNA". It matches the Rfam family "Bacterial small subunit ribosomal RNA", at positions 524 to 776 of the family's 1533-position model. The record is from RNAcentral.
UACGUAGGGUGCAAGCGUUGUCCGGAAUCAUUGGGCGUAAAGAGCGUGUAGGCGGCCAGAAAAGUCAGCUGUGAAAACUCGAGGCUCAACUUCGAGCUGUCGGUGGAAACUUUCUGGCUAGAGUCCGGAAGAGGAGAAUGGAAUUCCUGGUGUAGCGGUGAAAUGCGCAGAUAUCAGGAAGAACACCCGUGGCGAAGGCGGUUCUCUGGGACGGUACUGACGCUGAGACGCGAAAGCGUGGGGAGCGAACAGG